CGUUUACUCUCGAAGAGACCGGUACACUUCAUCGUGUCGUGGUACACAACCAUUGCCAUCCAAUGACGCCGAAAGCAACCGUAAAGUCUCGUCAGGUCUACAGGUCGCCGGCCUGUUAUGCGCCGUACCUUCCAAGCCUGCAAUCCAGAAAACAUAAAUGUACGAUGGGUUUUGAUCGAUUUCGUGAGAGAAGGUUUGAAACACUUCGUGACUCGUGAGGAUCUGUAUGCGCUACCGAGAAAUGCAAUUUAGGAGAAUAACGUUAUGCACUGACAUUCAGCAAAAAGAUAAAGCCUGAACUAAUUGUCGACAUAAAAUUGCCGGAAGAGGCAAACGUCGGAAUUUACCAGAGCUUGUGGAACUUAGCUCGAACCUUCGAACAGCGGUCUCAAACCUGAAAUCCAUCGUCCAUAGAGUUUAAUAUCAACUCUCAAAUUCUGCACUGCCUUAAAAGUCAGUCCUCAGCUUACGUCGCCGCCUGUUGAACGUGCGAAACCUCGCAUUGGUUCUCACUGACGGAUAUCCAAUUCGAGAACUGAACCAAAGAGCGGCCCUCGAGCUGUUAUCACCGUGGGGAUACAUACGAUCCUGAAGGAGGUGCCCUUCCGCGCCGCGCCGUAAGAAGCGAAGAGCUGGAGAGUCUCAAAGGAGAACAACUCUACAAACUGUGUCCUAAUUCCUAGGAAACAUAAAGAACGUGCAAGGGAGCAUAUUUCAUGACCGUAGAAGAAAAAUGAUUUCGCACACAGCAUAUCCAGUUUAACAUGGGCGAUUUGAAGGCGAUUUAAAAAAAAAUGUUGAAUGGCAAAUGAUUUGUUAUAUACAGGAACAUUCGCUUAAUCGGGGGGAAUAGGUAAUCCUUGAGAUUUUCCGAUGUCUUCAUACUAAAAGGGUCCACAACGGACGAGCA
Varroa destructor (honeybee mite) is the source of this 910-nucleotide long non-coding RNA. RefSeq lists it as uncharacterized. NCBI's taxonomy places the organism in Eukaryota, Metazoa, Arthropoda, Arachnida, Mesostigmata, Varroidae. The record is from RefSeq and is a predicted model, not a curated record.